Molecule: ribosomal RNA, 253 nt
Filed under: uncultured bacterium
Lineage: Bacteria
Description: partial 16S ribosomal RNA
Rfam family: Bacterial small subunit ribosomal RNA
Source: RNAcentral
CACGGGGGGAGCAAGCGUUGUUCGGAUUCACUGGGCGUAAAGGGUGCGUAGGCGGCCAGGUAAGUCUGCUGUGAAAUCCCGCAGCUCAACUGCGGAACUGCAUUGGAAACUAUCUGGCUAGAGGAAUGGAGGGGAGACUGGAAUUCUCGGUGUAGCAGUGAAAUGCGUAGAUAUCGAGAGGAACACCAGUGGCGAAGGCGAGUCUCUGGACAUUUCCUGACGCUGAGGCACGAAAGCCAGGGGAGCAAACGGG